This is a long non-coding RNA of Triplophysa dalaica, 786 nucleotides long. RefSeq lists it as uncharacterized. NCBI's taxonomy places the organism in Eukaryota, Metazoa, Chordata, Actinopteri, Cypriniformes, Nemacheilidae. The record is from RefSeq and is a predicted model, not a curated record. The transcript is spliced from 3 exons.
UUGUGUACUGUCAGGUGAAUAACUCCUCUGUUGUCCGUGUGGUGUGACGCAGCUUCGUCUGCUCUCUUCUCUUCUAAGAAAGAAGUAAAUAUGGAGUGCGAGCGCUUCACCGCAGGACAUGCAGAACUGGACGGCUGAGGUCAUGUGACCACAUGACACACACCAGCAUCCCGUGAGACGGCAGUGAGACGGCUGGAGAGAGACAUGAGGCCGAAGAGAAGCAGAGAGACAGAAUCAAAGCCACCGCAGCGGAUGGAUCAGAUCGCUCGCUUUACAUUCACAGACUGAAACACAAGAGCAGCAUCAGCGGCUGGAGUUUCAUCACAUUUACAUCCCGAGCUGAGCGAGGAUCAAACAGAGCAUGUUUUGAGAGAGAUGAGAGAGAUGUUUCCACAUUAAAGAGCUGAAGAAGCCCAGGUGAUGUGCUUGGAUUAAGAUGCGGUCCACAUCAACGCUUUCUUCACUCAGCAGACAACACGUGUCUCAUCUUCAAACAGGCCGACUCAACAGAGACGAGCGCUUCAAAGACACACUUCAUCAAAACCCUCUCAAAGAUCUCAUGAGCAUCUCAGAGAAGAUCCCUCGAGUGUCACAUGCUCUUCUGUUUCACACACCGAGCGACUGUUCCAGCUGGUGACUUUCAUUCAGUCGUGUUGGAUUCAAUUAAUUUACCUCCUAUAAAGAUUGAAUGUCACGGUGGAGCUCAGAUUCCCUCUUCAUCAUCACUGACAUUUCACUUUAAUGCACGGCUGACUGUCUAACAACAACAAAGGAUGCACAGUUCAG